Long non-coding RNA from Aedes albopictus (Asian tiger mosquito), 952 nucleotides. RefSeq lists it as uncharacterized. The transcript has 2 exons. NCBI's taxonomy places the organism in Eukaryota, Metazoa, Arthropoda, Insecta, Diptera, Culicidae. The record is from RefSeq and is a predicted model, not a curated record.
GAGAAAAAGCACUGUAGUUUGAAACAACAAACAUGUUUGUUGAAUGGUGAUCUAAUUAAAUAGUAAAUUCAAACUGUAAAUCCGUUGUUUGGAUCUGUAGUUUUGGUUUAAAAUAACCACCCAUGUCAGUUGUUUCUACUAAUCAGCACAAUGGUGUAAACAACUGAAAUUUUGGUUAUUUUUAACUAACAUGGAAGUUGUUUUCUACUGAGCCGUUAGUUGAUUUUACUAAACAUUAGUUUGUUCACUUUGGGCAUGGUCUGUGGAAAGCAAACUGAAAUAUUAGUUGAAUUCAACCGGCAUAACGGUUUGAGUUGAACUAAUAUUUUGGUUGUAGAAAUAACAACUAAAAUAUCGGUUUGAAUCGAACUAAGUUAUCAGUUUGUUAAAUUCCUCAGUCUCGCGCCGCUUCUCUACUGUUAACAGACAAAUGUCUUUCUUUGUCUGCACCGGCACAACCAACCGCCAUUACUUCUACUCGUAGUUCGUAAAUAAUCAGUGCAAUCAUAAUAAGUGCAUUAUUUUCAUAUUUAUUUGAUUUUUAGCAAGUGCCAACGCUAUGUGGUCGUUCCCCAUCACAGGACGGUACGCAUUUUUUGGGAGAGUAGAUCGAAGCGCAAGCUUCAUGAUCUUCGACAUACCGCUAGCUCUUUCGGCAACAACAGUGAAUUCAAAGAAAUUUACUCUGCCUCUGCAGAACACCGCCUGGUUCGAUGCUUGUUUAUCAAUUUCAUCGAGUACCAUCAGGAUAACGUAUGGAUUAUCCCUUCCGGAGACGAUAUUUCUACAACGUAAUUAUGGAAACCAGCUUGAAGUCAGCCGUCAUGCAGCUGGAUUAGUGAAAGUGAUCGCCAAUAAACAUUUCUAGUGCGAUGGACCGGAAGAAAACUGAAGUGUGAAGUAUUCCACAAAUUAAAACAAGAAUAAAUAAAAUGUUACAGCAUGCCGAACA